This 59-nucleotide ribosomal RNA is filed under the name Tarzetta catinus. Its description in RNAcentral is "partial 28S ribosomal RNA". It matches the Rfam family "Eukaryotic large subunit ribosomal RNA", at positions 1 to 56 of the family's 3401-position model. RNAcentral also lists the same sequence under 4 other names. The record is from RNAcentral. Lineage: Eukaryota; Fungi; Ascomycota; Pezizomycetes; Pezizales; Tarzettaceae.
GUUUGACCUCGGAUCAGGUAGGGAUACCCGCUGAACUUAAGCAUAUCAAUAAGCGGAGG